UCCGGGGCGGCGCGGGAGGCGCGGGGCGGCGCGGGGAGCCGGGCCGGGCUCGGGGCGCGCAGCGUUGGCCGCGUGCGCCCCCGGCUCCCCCGCGCGCCGCAGCCAAUCGUCGGAGGGUGCCCGCGCCCCGCGUCCUGCUCACCUCGCGCCAAUCACCCCGCCCCGCCCCCGCCCCCCCGCCCCUCGCGCCCCUCCCCCGCCGCACACCCGCACACACACAAACAGCGCGGGGGAGGGGGCGGCCGCGCACACGGGCUCCCGGCUCCCUCCCUCCGCCCUCGCACACGGCGACGGGAGACGGACCGAGAGCACCGCGCCGGGAGAGACCGCCGAGAGCCGCCCCGGCUCCCACACACACACUCGCCCCGGCGCCGCGCCCCCCCCACCUCCUCCUCUCCGCCCCCACCACUAACACCAUCUUCUCCUCCUCCUCCUCUCUGCAACAAGAAAAAAAAAGCCAUUUACAGGGGUGAUGUGCAACUAAUUAAAGGCAGACUGGCAGCGUCUGCAAAUUCUAAGGCUCCCCAAAUAAAAAGAGACUGUGGUGCCGGCCGGAGGAUCAUGCCCGGGACGACGCAGCCGGGGACGUCGCCGUCGGUGGACAGGCGCCCCCGGGAGGAAUAAAGCGGCCUCACCUGGCGGCGCCGGCCCGCGGCCCGCCGCUCCAGCGCCCCCGCGCGCGGCCCCCGCCC
This is a long non-coding RNA of Sorex fumeus (smoky shrew), 692 nucleotides long. RefSeq lists it as uncharacterized. The transcript is spliced from 3 exons. The record is from RefSeq and is a predicted model, not a curated record. NCBI's taxonomy places the organism in Eukaryota, Metazoa, Chordata, Mammalia, Eulipotyphla, Soricidae.